CACCGGCGGCUCGAGUGGUGGCCACUUUUAUUGGGUCUAAAGCGUCCGUAGCCGGCUUGGCAAGUCCCCUGGGAAAUCUGGCGGCUUAACCGUCAGGCGUCCAGAGGAUACUGCCAGGCUUGGGACCGGGAGAGGUGAGAGGUACCUCAGGGGUAGGGGUGAAAUCUUGUGAUCCCUGAGGGACCACCAGUGGCGAAGGCGGCUCACUAGAACGGGUCCGACGGUCAGGGACGAAAGCUGGGGGCGCGAACCGG
RNAcentral lists this ribosomal RNA (254 nucleotides) under uncultured microorganism. RNAcentral's name for it is "partial 16S ribosomal RNA". It matches the Rfam family "Archaeal small subunit ribosomal RNA", at positions 474 to 727 of the family's 1478-position model. The record is from RNAcentral.